RNAcentral lists this long non-coding RNA (1431 nucleotides) under Homo sapiens (human). Its description in RNAcentral is "non-protein coding lnc-DLGAP3-2:4". The record is from RNAcentral. Lineage: Eukaryota; Metazoa; Chordata; Mammalia; Primates; Hominidae.
AAGAAAAAAACCCAAAAACAAGAUAGCCCAUGGAACAGAAUAGAGAGGAAGAGACAGGCCCCCACAUAUACUGUCCUCUGAUUUAUUACUAAAGUCCUACUGCAAUUUAGUGGGAGGAGGAAGAUCUUUUAAAUAAAUGGUAGAGAAAAAAAUGAACUAUAUCCCUACCUUACAUCAUCCGUAUAAAUUAAUUGGGGAUGGAGCAUAGACGUAUGUGUAAAAGGAUAAAGCUUUCAAAACAAACCAUGGGAGAAUAUCUUCAUAACCUUCAGGUAGGCAAAGAUUUCUUUUUCUUUUUCUUUUUUUCUUGAGACGGAGUUUUGCUCUCCGGGCCACCAUGCCCGGCUAGUUUUGUAUUUUUUAGUAGAGACGGGGUUUCUCCAUGUUGGUCAGGCUGGUCUCAAACUCCUGACCUCAGGUGAUCUGCCCACCUUGGCCUCCAAAAGUGCUGGGAUUACAGGCGUGAGCCACCGCGCCUGGCGAGGCAAAGACUUUUUAAACAGGGCAUAAGAAUAACUGAAAGAAAGACUAGUAAUUGACUUCAUUAAAAUAAAAAACUUCUCCUCAACCAGUCACAAACUUAAGACAGUAUAAAGGCAAACCGCAACUGGGGAGAGAAUGUUUGCAAUACAUAUUUUGGAAAAAGAACUCAUAACUGGACUAUAUCAUGAACCGUUUCAGAGCAAUUUUUUAAAAAGACUGACAACACAAGUUUCAAAAAGAUCAAAAGACUUGGAUAGGCAUUUUGCAAAAGAAGAUAUCCAAAUGGCUAAUAAACAUUUCUAAAAGUGUUCAACGUCAUUAUCUAUCAAGUACAGGCAAAUUAAAACUACCAUAAGGUAGCACCUCAUAUCCAUCUAAUUUUAGAAUGACUAAAGUGAAUAGGCUGAGAAAUCUAAGAGUUGGUGAAGAUAUAAAGAAACUAGGAGUCUCAUAUAUUGCUUAUGUGAGUAUAAAUUUCCAUAAACAUUUUAGAAAACUACUAGGCAGCAUCUACUAAAGCUAAGCAAACAUAUAAUGCAUGACUGGGCAACUCAGCUCCUGGGCUGAGUAUAUACCCAAGAGAAAUGAAUGCAUAUGUCCACUAAAAGACAUGUAUAUAGCAUACUCAUAGCAGCAUUAAUAGUAAUAGCCCCGAAUUUGAAGUGAACCAAAUGUUAGUCAACAGUAGAAUGAAUACAUUGUGGUAUAGUUGUAUCUGGAAUACUACACAGCAAUGACAAAUGAUUAACUGGAUGCAAUAACAUGGGUGAACCUCUCAUCUCCAGAUUACUUAUAAUAUCUAAUGCAAGGUAAAUGUUAUAUAAAUAAUUGUUAUAUUGUAUUGUUUAGGUAAUAAACACACUCUAACACUCGCUCUGUUUUCCCCACAAUCCGCAGCAUGCAGCCUGCUGUGUCCACCUCACAUACGCACUGGACCUUGUCCUCACU